Molecule: ribosomal RNA, 617 nt
Filed under: uncultured archaeon
Lineage: Archaea
Description: bacterial SSU rRNA
Rfam family: Archaeal small subunit ribosomal RNA
Source: RNAcentral
UAGCCUCGGGUGGGGGAUAACCUCGGGAAACUGAGGCUAAUACCCCAUAGGCCUCGGAUACUGGAAGGUUCCGAGACCGAAAGCUCCGGCGCCCGAGGAUGGGUCUGCGGCCUAUCAGGUAGUUGGUGGUGUAAAGGACCACCAAGCCUACGACGGGUACGGGCCCUGAGAGGGGGAGCCCGGAGAUGGACUCUGAGACACGAGUCCAGGCCCUACGGGGCGCAGCAGGCGCGAAACCUUCGCAAUGCGCGAAAGCGCGACGAGGGGAGCCCGAGUGCCCUUCCUUUCGGGAGGGCUUUUCUGGAGCCUAAAAAGCUCCAGGAAUAAGGGCUGGGCAAGACGGGUGCCAGCCGCCGCGGUAAUACCCGCAGCUCGAGUGGUGGCCACUAUUAUUGAGCCUAAAGCGUCCGUAGCCGGACCCGUAAAUCCCUGGGUAAAUCCUGGCGCUCAACGUCAGGAAUUCCGGGGAGACUGCGGGUCUUGGGACCGGGAGAGGCCGGAGGUACUCCCGGGGUAGGGGUAAAAUCCUGUAAUCCCGGGGGGACCACCUGUGGCGAAAGCGUCCGGCUUGAACGGCUCCGACGGUGAGGGACGAAGGCCAGGGGAGCAAACCGGAU